Molecule: ribosomal RNA, 555 nt
Filed under: Triticum aestivum (bread wheat)
Lineage: Eukaryota; Viridiplantae; Streptophyta; Magnoliopsida; Poales; Poaceae
Description: partial small subunit ribosomal RNA
Source: RNAcentral
AUGGGGACGGCUGUGAGCGGAGGGGGUGAUCCAGCGGACGGGAGGCAGAGCGGAGAACUCAGGAAGGCAAUUGAAGGGGCGACUAGCAGGGGCCCAUCGGUGGGGGGAGAAGGAGGUAGCGGGAGUAGGGGUGGAGAAGAGGUUGAGGAGGAAGAUGAAGAGUGGGAUUAUUACGGCCCGGAACCGGAUCUGGAGGAUAAAUUUGCAGGUAUGAAGCUGCAUGGAGAGGAGGAGGAUGAUCUUGACCUGUCAGGGGAGGUAGAGGAAUUGAUCAAGGGGGUGAGGUGGCUAGGAUUGUUUCGUGUCCAUACCACUAAGCCUUUCAGCCACGCGGCGCUUUUGAGACAGAUGCGGAACGCCUGGGCGGCUGCGCAGGGCGUGACUUUUAAUGUUAAAGGACCAAAUCUCUUCUUGUUCCAGUGCCAUUGUCUCGGCGAUUGGAAGCGGAUUAUGGACGGGGGGCCAUGGAUCUUCCGUUAUGCUCCGGUAAUAGUACAGGAAUAUGAUGGUUUUACUGAUGUGGCAGAAUACAAACUUAAUAAAGUUCCUGUAUGG